AGUGAACGCUGGCGGUAGGCCUAACACAUGCAAGUCGAACGGCAGCACAGUAAGAGCUUGCUCUUACGGGUGGCGAGUGGCGGACGGGUGAGGAAUACAUCGGAAUCUACUUUUUCGUGGGGGAUAACGUAGGGAAACUUACGCUAAUACCGCAUACGACCUACGGGUGAAAGCAGGGGAUCUUCGGACCUUGCGCGAUUGAAUGAGCCGAUGUCGGAUUAGCUAGUUGGCGGGGUAAAGGCCCACCAAGGCGACGAUCCGUAGCUGGUCUGAGAGGAUGAUCAGCCACACUGGAACUGAGACACGGUCCAGACUCCUACGGGAGGCAGCAGUGGGGAAUAUUGGACAAUGGGUGCAAGCCUGAUCCAGCCAUACCGCGUGGGUGAAGAAGGCCUUCGGGUUGUAAAGCCCUUUUGUUGGGAAAGAAAAGCAGCAGGUUAAUACCCCGCUGUCCUGACGGUACCCAAAGAAUAAGCACCGGCUAACUUCGUG
Molecule: ribosomal RNA, 492 nt
Filed under: uncultured bacterium
Lineage: Bacteria
Description: partial 16S ribosomal RNA
Rfam family: Bacterial small subunit ribosomal RNA
Source: RNAcentral